This 294-nucleotide ribosomal RNA is filed under the name uncultured bacterium. Its description in RNAcentral is "partial 16S ribosomal RNA". The record is from RNAcentral.
GGACUACUAGGGUUUCUAAUCCCGUUCGCUACCCACGCUUUCGUGUUUCAGCGUCAGGAGCGCGCCAGUAAGGUGCCUUCGCAUUUGGUGUUCCCCAUGAUAUCAACGGAUUUCACCCCUACACCAUGAGUUCCCCUUACCUCUCGCGUCCUCGUAGCUGUGCCGUUUCUCCUGCAUUCUUUGGGUUGAGCCCGAAGACUUUAACAAAAGACUAACACUGCCGCCUACACACCCUUUACGCCCAGUGAUUCCGGAUAAUGCUCGGGGCCUCUGUAUUACCGCGGCUGCUGGCAC